AUGGACACCUGGAUCUUCUGCUUUAUGGCCAUUUGUAUCAUGGUAGCAAAGCACACAGAUGCUGGGGUCAACCAAACACCGAGGCACAAGGUCACAGAGAAGGGACAAGCAGUGACUCUGGAAUGUGAACCAAGUUCAGGCCACAGUGCACUUUACUGGUACAGACAGACCUUGGUGCAGGGACUAGAGCUGCUGAUUUACUUCCGCAGCCAGUCUCCUGUGGAUGAUGGAGUGAUGCCCAAGACUCGGUUCUCAGCUGAGAUGUCUAAUGCCUCAUUCUCCUCUCUGAAGAUCCAGCCCACAGAACCUGAGGACUCAGCCCUGUAUCUCUGCUCCAGCAGCAUAGACACAGCGCUGCAGAACUUCCCCUCCCUUUGCAGAAACUCUGGGGCUUCCCUUCCUCUCAAGUUCCCAGUAGUUCUGAGGAAAGCCUUCAAUGAUCCUCCCUUUCAACAGAACUAG
This is a non-coding RNA of Carlito syrichta (Philippine tarsier), 462 nucleotides long. NCBI's taxonomy places the organism in Eukaryota, Metazoa, Chordata, Mammalia, Primates, Tarsiidae. The record is from the annotation of a RefSeq genome assembly.